RNAcentral lists this ribosomal RNA (448 nucleotides) under uncultured bacterium. RNAcentral describes it as "bacterial SSU rRNA". It matches the Rfam family "Bacterial small subunit ribosomal RNA", at positions 330 to 794 of the family's 1533-position model. The record is from RNAcentral.
ACCAGACUCCUACGGGAGGCAGCAGUGGGGAAUAUUGCACAAUGGGGGGAACCCUGAUGCAGCGACGCCGCGUGAGUGAAGAAGUAUUUCGGUAUGUAAAGCUCUUUCAGCAGGGAAGAAGAAAGACGGUACCUGACCAAGAAGCCCCGGCUAACUACGUGCCAGCAGCCGCGGUAAUACGUAGGGGGCAAGCGUUAUCCGGAUUUACUGGGUGUAAAGGGAGCGUAGACGGCAGGGCAAGUCUGGAGUGAAAGGCGGGGGCCCAACCCCUGGACUGCUCUGGAAACUGUCCGGCUGGAGUGCAGGAGAGGUAAGUGGAAUUCCUAGUGUAGCGGUGAAAUGCGUAGAUAUUAGGAGGAACACCAGUGGCGAAGGCGGCUUACUGGACUGGGACUGACGUUGAGGCUCGAAAGCGUGGGGAGCAAACAGGAUUAGAUACCCUAGUACU